UACAGAGGUCUCAAGCGUUGUUCGGAUUCAUUGGGCGUAAAGGGUGCGUAGGCGGCGCGGUAAGUCGGGUGUGAAAUCUCGGAGCUUAACUCCGAAACUGCAUUCGAUACUGCCGUGCUUGAGGACUGGAGAGGAGACUGGAAUUUACGGUGUAGCGGUGAAAUGCGUAGAUAUCGUAAGGAAGACCAGUGGCGAAGGCGGCGAUCUGGGAAGAUACUGACGCUGAGGUGCGAAAGCGUGGGGAGCAAACAGG
This 253-nucleotide ribosomal RNA is filed under the name uncultured bacterium. Its description in RNAcentral is "partial 16S ribosomal RNA". It matches the Rfam family "Bacterial small subunit ribosomal RNA", at positions 524 to 776 of the family's 1533-position model. The record is from RNAcentral.